CAUUGUUAAUGGGAACAAAAGGAUCCCUAAUGUCCUAGAAGUUAUGAAAAGAAAAGGAAUUCCAGGCUGAUGGGGAAGAUUCUUUUCAAGCAAGAUGGAAGGAAGAAGUUUUGCCAGCAAGCUUAAGUCCCAAUGCAUGGGCAGCCUCUCCCUGCUGUGGGCCUGCCCUGCAGGAAAAGAAUAAGCACAGGAUCCACCAAAACGACGAGAAUGGAGUGUGCUCACUAGUGACUAAUGCCCUAUUUGCUGUCACUGCAGAAUGCUGCCCUUCACCACAGCAGUUCCCUUAUAGCUAUGGUGACUUACCUACAAAAUAAAAACUCUCUUGAAUCAUCUGUGAUAAUUGUACUUUGGCCAGUUGAAUCCUUUCCUUGACUGAUCUAUACAACACCCUUUAAGAAGGCUUCCUGCAGAAAAGGAUUAGGAAGAAUCAUCAGGAUGAAAAGGCAGACUCCAGACAGGAGUACUGCUUGGUCUUCACCAGACUCAUGGCUCGGAGAGCAAUCUGUUUAUGAUAUGGUAUUUCACAGUCCAGCAAUUGCAUCAUUAAGACAGGAAAAAAAGUAAAGUGCAAAUAUUUCCGUCAGCUUCUGUCAUCUUCCACGAAGUGUUUAUCCAGAGAUAAGUCUUUCCAGUGGACAUCUGAGAGGCGUUCAGAUGUGCCUGAGAGUUGAAGCCUUGGAGAUGCACCUGCAGGAUUCUACAAAGGCAGAGCACAAGCAAGUUCAUAUACUGUUCGUCUAUUUUGCUGAAUGUGUGGAGGUCAUGAAAGGAUCUUAAGUCCAAAGAUGAGAAGAUCUGUAGAUUUUCGAAAUGUAAAGAAGAUAUGGACACCCAGAAGAGGAGGCCAUUUGAAGACAGAGAGUCAAGUAACGAGACCAUAAGACAAAGGAGCUGCAAACAAUGAAAGUGAAAAGAAUUAAAGAAACAGAUUUCCACCCAGAGCCUCCAUAGGGGAUGUGAUGCUGUUGACAUUGGGAUUUCAGACUUCCUUUCUCCAGACAGAGCCCUCUUAACAAGACAGACGCCUGUUGAGCAGGGAAGGAGCACGCCCAUCUUGCUGCCCCCCCAACGAUAAAAUAAAACUCCAUUUCAAACGUAAAACCCAUCAACAACUCCUUUAACCAAGUUUACUCUUAGUGCUAUAAGAGCUAAUCAAAAGCUUUUUACAAAAACUAUACUUUAUCAGCUGGUUAUACAAUUCUCUGGAAGUAGAGACCCACACACACUUGAAAGAGAGGAUGUACACUUGUAAGCUUAAUUUUUUUCUCACUUAGCACACACAACUACUUUACCGUAUUAUCCAGCUAGCUCUGUGGUCCAGCCCUACUCUCAUCCUUUCUUGUCUCAGAAUACAUCUAAGGAUCGAGAUGGAAAAAAAAGAACGAGGGGUGAUAUA
Oryctolagus cuniculus (rabbit) is the source of this 1399-nucleotide non-coding RNA. The record is from RefSeq and is a predicted model, not a curated record. NCBI's taxonomy places the organism in Eukaryota, Metazoa, Chordata, Mammalia, Lagomorpha, Leporidae.